UACAGAGGCCUCGAGCGUUAGGCGGAAUCACUGGGCUUAAAGCGUGUGUAGGCGGAUGCCUAAGUGCUUUGUGAAAUCCCACGGCUCAACCGUGGAAUUGCUUGGCAUACUGGGUGUCUUGAGCCAUCUAGGGGCGAGCGGAACAAGUGGUGGAGCGGUGAAAUGCGUAGAUAUCACUUGGAACGCCAACGGUGAAAACAGCUCGCUGGGGAUGUGCUGACGCUGAGACACGAAAGCCAGGGGAGCAAACGGG
This 253-nucleotide ribosomal RNA is filed under the name uncultured bacterium. RNAcentral's name for it is "partial 16S ribosomal RNA". It matches the Rfam family "Bacterial small subunit ribosomal RNA", at positions 524 to 776 of the family's 1533-position model. The record is from RNAcentral.